GGUUAAGUUAGAAAGGGCGCACGGUGGAUGCCUUGGCACUAGGAGCCGAUGAAGGACGGGACGAACACCGAUAUGCUUCGGGGAGCUGUAAGCAAGCUUUGAUCCGGAGAUUUCCGAAUGGGGAAACCCACCACUCGUAAUGGAGUGGUAUCCAUAUCUGAAUACAUAGGAUAUGAGAAGGCAGACCCGGGGAACUGAAACAUCUAAGUACCCGGAGGAAGAGAAAGCAAAUGCGAUUCCCUGAGUAGCGGCGAGCGAAACGGGACCAGCCCAAACCAAGAGGCUUGCCUCUUGGGGUUGUAGGACACUCUGUACGGAGUUACAAAGGAACGAGGUAGAUGAAGAGGUCUGGAAAGGCCCGCCAUAGAAGGUAACAGCCCUGUAGUCAAAACUUCGUUCUCUCCUGAGUGGAUCCUGAGUACGGCGGAACACGUGAAAUUCCGUCGGAAUCCGGGAGGACCAUCUCCCAAGGCUAAAUACUCCCUAGUGACCGAUAGUGAACCAGUACCGUGAGGGAAAGGUGAAAAGCACCCCGGAAGGGGAGUGAAAGAGAUCCUGAAACCGUGUGCCUACAAGUAGUCAGAGCCCGUUAACGGGUGAUGGCGUGCCUUUUGUAGAAUGAACCGGCGAGUUACGAUCCCGUGCAAGGUUAAGCAGAAGAUGCGGAGCCGCAGCGAAAGCGAGUCUGAAUAGGGCGAAUUGAGUACGUGGUCGUAGACCCGAAACCAGGUGAUCUACCCAUGUCCAGGGUGAAGUUCAGGUAACACUGAAUGGAGGCCCGAACCCACGCACGUUGAAAAGUGCGGGGAUGAGGUGUGGGUAGGGGUGAAAUGCCAAUCGAACCUGGAGAUAGCUGGUUCUCUCCGAAAUAGCUUUAGGGCUAGCCUCAAGGUAAGAGUCUCGGAGGUAGAGCACUGAUUGGACUAGGGGCCCCUACCGGGUUACCGAAUUCAGUCAAACUCCGAAUGCCGAUGACUUAUCCUUGGGAGUCAGACUGCGAGUGAUAAGAUCCGUAGUCGAAAGGGAAACAGCCCAGACUGCCAGCUAAGGUCCCAAAGUAUACGUUAAGUGGAAAAGGAUGUGGAGUUGCUUAGACAACCAGGAUGUUGGCUUAGAAGCAGCCACCAUUUAAAGAGUGCGUAAUAGCUCACUGGUCGAGUGACUCUGCGCCGAAAAUGUACCGGGGCUAAACGUAUCACCGAAGCUGCGGACUGUUCUUCGAACAGUGGUAGGAGAGCGUUCUAAGGGCUGUGAAGCAAGACCGGAAGGACUUGUGGAGCGCUUAGAAGUGAGAAUGCCGGUAUGAGUAGCGAAAGAGGGGUGAGAAUCCCCUCCACCGAAUGCCUAAGGUUUCCUGAGGAAGGCUCGUCCGCUCAGGGUUAGUCGGGACCUAAGCCGAGGCCGAAAGGCGUAGGCGAUGGAUAACAGGUUGAUAUUCCUGUACCACCUCCUCACCAUUUGAGCAAUGGGGGGACGCAGGAGGAUAGGGUAAGCGCGGUAUUGGAUAUCCGCGUCCAAGCAGUUAGGCUGGGAAAUAGGCAAAUCCGUUUCCCGUGAAGGCUGAGCUGUGAUGGCGAGCGAAUUAUAGUAGCGAAGUUCCUGAUUCCACACUGCCAAGAAAAGCCUCUAGCGAGGUGAGAGGUGCCCGUACCGCAAACCGACACAGGUAGGCGAGGAGAGAAUCCUAAGGUGAUCGAGAGAACUCUCGUUAAGGAACUCGGCAAAAUGACCCCGUAACUUCGGGAGAAGGGGUGCUCUGUUAGGGUGCAAGCCCGAGAGAGCCGCAGUGAAUAGGCCCAGGCGACUGUUUAGCAAAAACACAGGUCUCUGCGAAGCCGUAAGGCGAAGUAUAGGGGCUGACGCCUGCCCGGUGCUGGAAGGUUAAGAGGAGCGCUUAGCGUAAGCGAAGGUGCGAAUUGAAGCCCCAGUAAACGGCGGCCGUAACUAUAACGGUCCUAAGGUAGCGAAAUUCCUUGUCGGGUAAGUUCCGACCCGCACGAAAGGCGCAACGAUCUGGGCACUGUCUCAACGAGAGACUCGGUGAAAUUAUAGUACCUGUGAAGAUGCAGGUUACCCGCGACAGGACGGAAAGACCCCGUGGAGCUUUACUGCAGCCUGAUAUUGAAUGUUGGUACAGCUUGUACAGGAUAGGUAGGAGCCUUGGAAACCGGAGCGCCAGCUUCGGUGGAGGCAUCGGUGGGAUACUACCCUGGCUGUAUUGACCUUCUAACCCGCCGCCCUUAUCGGGCGGGGAGACAGUGUCAGGUGGGCAGUUUGACUGGGGCGGUCGCCUCCUAAAAGGUAACGGAGGCGCCCAAAGGUUCCCUCAGAAUGGUUGGAAAUCAUUCGCAGAGUGUAAAGGCACAAGGGAGCUUGACUGCGAGACCUACAAGUCGAGCAGGGACGAAAGUCGGGCUUAGUGAUCCGGUGGUUCCGCAUGGAAGGGCCAUCGCUCAACGGAUAAAAGCUACCCCGGGGAUAACAGGCUUAUCUCCCCCAAGAGUCCACAUCGACGGGGAGGUUUGGCACCUCGAUGUCGGCUCAUCGCAUCCUGGGGCUGUAGUCGGUCCCAAGGGUUGGGCUGUUCGCCCAUUAAAGCGGUACGCGAGCUGGGUUCAGAACGUCGUGAGACAGUUCGGUCCCUAUCCGUCGCGGGCGCAGGAAAUUUGAGAGGAGCUGUCCUUAGUACGAGAGGACCGGGAUGGACGCACCGCUGGUGUACCAGUUGUUCUGCCAAGGGCAUCGCUGGGUAGCUAUGUGCGGACGGGAUAAGUGCUGAAAGCAUCUAAGCAUGAAGCCCCCCUCAAGAUGAGAUUUCCCAUUCCGCAAGGAAGUAAGAUCCCUGAAAGAUGAUCAGGUUGAUAGGUCUGAGGUGGAAGUGUGGCGACACAUGGAGCUGACAGAUACUAAUCGAUCGAGGACUUAACCAA
RNAcentral lists this ribosomal RNA (2930 nucleotides) under Bacillus velezensis. Its description in RNAcentral is "23S ribosomal RNA". It matches the Rfam family "Bacterial large subunit ribosomal RNA". Lineage: Bacteria; Bacillati; Bacillota; Bacilli; Caryophanales; Bacillaceae. The record is from RNAcentral.